RNAcentral lists this ribosomal RNA (467 nucleotides) under uncultured bacterium. RNAcentral describes it as "partial 16S ribosomal RNA". It matches the Rfam family "Bacterial small subunit ribosomal RNA", at positions 28 to 507 of the family's 1533-position model. The record is from RNAcentral.
GACGAACGCUGGCGGCGUGCUUAACACAUGCAAGUCGAACGGAAAGGCCCUGCUUGUGUGGGGUGCUCGCGUGGCGAACGGGUGAGUAACACGUGAGUAACCUGCCCUUGACUUUGGGAUAACUUCAGGAAACUGGGGCUAAUACCGGAUAGGAGCUCCUGCUGGAUGGUGGGGGUUGGAAAGUUUGGGCGGUGGAGGAUGGACUCGGGGUUAAUUAGCUUGUUGGUGGGGAGGUGGCUUACCAAGGAUUGGACGGUUAGUCGCCCUGGGAGGGUGACCGGCUCCAUGGGCCUAAGGGACGGCCCAGACGCCAAUGGGGGGCAACGGGCGGGAAUAUUUCCCAAUGGGGCGGAGGCUGAUGCGAAGAUCCCCGGAGUGGGAUGACGGCCUUCGGGUUGUAAACCGCUUUCGCCUGUGACGAAGCGUGAGUGACGGUAAUGGGUGAAGAAGCACCGGCUAACUACGUG